RNAcentral lists this transfer RNA (109 nucleotides) under Sphaerosporella brunnea. It matches the Rfam family "tRNA". From Rfam's summary of the family: Transfer RNA (tRNA) molecules are approximately 80 nucleotides in length. The record is from Rfam by way of RNAcentral. Lineage: Eukaryota; Fungi; Ascomycota; Pezizomycetes; Pezizales; Pyronemataceae.
AUCCCUGUGGCGCAGUGGUAGCGCGUCGUUCUUAUAUGGGAACUCGCCUUUGGGCGGUCCUGUAUGGACAGCUAUGCGAAUGUCGUGGGUUCGACCCCCACCAGGGAUA